Molecule: long non-coding RNA, 418 nt
Filed under: Capra hircus (goat)
Lineage: Eukaryota; Metazoa; Chordata; Mammalia; Artiodactyla; Bovidae
Description: lncRNA (ENSCHIG00000001559.1)
Source: RNAcentral
AAAUGGCAGCGGUUUGACUCCAAAGAAGCCAUUUCUUGUCCACAGGGCCCUCUGAUGAUGGCUGGAGAUCUGGUCCCAGGGCAGCUCUCUGCAUGAUGCUUUACUACACCGGCCCUGUCCAUGGUGCUGCUCCACAUUCUCCAGGACCGGGGACCCUCUGCAUCCAGCACCUAGCUGGGGAAAUGAGCUACAAGCCACACAAGGGCAGAGAUUGUGGCUAUUGUGUUCAUCUGGUCACCAGCACAGUCUUGGAACAGAGUAUUAGCUCCAUGGAACACAUACGAAUGAGCGGAUAAAUGAGUAAAUGCUGGCUUAAGACUCCACUUUAUGCGACUUUCAGGUCAUUUAAAGAGACAUCGUGACCUUAGACGGGGUUUGUGGGCGAAAAAGUAAUCAAAUAAAUUUGGAACAUGCUGUA